This 446-nucleotide ribosomal RNA is filed under the name uncultured bacterium. RNAcentral's name for it is "partial 16S ribosomal RNA". It matches the Rfam family "Bacterial small subunit ribosomal RNA", at positions 329 to 792 of the family's 1533-position model. The record is from RNAcentral.
GGCCAGACUCCUACGGGAGGCAGCAGUGAGGGAUAUUGGUCAAUGGGGGAAACCCUGAACCAGCAACGCCGCGUGAGGGAAGACGGUUUUCGGAUUGUAAACCCCUGUCCUCUGUGAAGAUAAUGACGGUAGCAGAGGAGGAAGCUCCGGCUAACUACGUGCCAGCAGCCGCGGUAAUACGUAGGGGGCAAGCGUUAUCCGGAUUUACUGGGUGUAAAGGGAGCGUAGGCGGUUUAGCAAGUCAGAAGUGAAAGCCCGGGGCUCAACUCCGGGACUGCUCUUGGAACUGCGCGGCUGGAGUGCAGGAGGGGCAGGCGGAAUUCCUGGUGUAGCGGUGAAAUGCGUAGAUAUCAGGAGGAACACCGGUGGCGAAGGCGGCCUGCUGGACUGCGACUGACGUUGAGGCCCGAAAGCGUGGGGAGCAAACAGGAUUAGAUACCCCUGUA